CAGGGGAAAUUACCCGACCCGGACUCAAAGCUCACCAAGGCGUUAGGUUUACUGGCCCUUAACAACCCCAACAAAAGUGGAACACUUCAUCAUCUGCUAUAAUGUGGUACAAUAUUAUUCCUUCCUUUUCCCUGGUUGUUGGCGCUCUAGGCCUCCCUGCUAUAUUAAUAGCUGGCCUUCAUAAAUUAGCCUAUGAUAACUUGUACAAGCGAGAGCUAAUCAAUAUGGACCAAAGGUUCUUGUUCUUGAGGGAUGAGCGCCUCACUGGCAACGCUUACAAGGCAGUUGUGAGUCAUUUUGUUGUUUCUUUCAGGUUAAUCUUAU
Molecule: non-coding RNA, 324 nt
Organism: Cherax quadricarinatus
Lineage: Eukaryota; Metazoa; Arthropoda; Malacostraca; Decapoda; Parastacidae
Source: RefSeq, a predicted model, not a curated record